GACGAACGCUGGCGGCGUGCCUAAUACAUGCAAGUCGAGCGGACUUAAAAAGCUUGCUUUUUAAGUUAGCGGCGGACGGGUGAGUAACACGUGGGCAACCUGCCUGUAAGACUGGGAUAACUUCGGGAAACCGGAGCUAAUACCGGAUAAUCCUUUUCUACUCAUGUAGGAAAGCUGAAAGACGGUUUACGCUGUCACUUACAGAUGGGCCCGCGGCGCAUUAGCUAGUUGGUGAGGUAACGGCUCACCAAGGCGACGAUGCGUAGCCGACCUGAGAGGGUGAUCGGCCACACUGGGACUGAGACACGGCCCAGACUCCUACGGGAGGCAGCAGUAGGGAAUCUUCCGCAAUGGACGAAAGUCUGACGGAGCAACGCCGCGUGAGUGAUGAAGGUUUUCGGAUCGUAAAACUCUGUUGUUAGGGAAGAACAAGUACGAGAGUAACUGCUCGUACCUUGACGGUACCUAACCAGAAAGCCACGGCUAACUACGUGCCAGCGCCG
RNAcentral lists this ribosomal RNA (503 nucleotides) under uncultured bacterium. Its description in RNAcentral is "bacterial SSU rRNA". It matches the Rfam family "Bacterial small subunit ribosomal RNA", at positions 28 to 517 of the family's 1533-position model. The record is from RNAcentral.